Molecule: ribosomal RNA, 207 nt
Filed under: uncultured bacterium
Lineage: Bacteria
Description: partial 16S ribosomal RNA
Rfam family: Bacterial small subunit ribosomal RNA
Source: RNAcentral
AGCGUAGACGGAAUGGCAAGUCUGAUGUGAAAGGCCGGGGCUCAACCCCGGGACUGCAUUGGAAACUGUCAAUCUAGAGUACCGGAGGGGUAAGUGGAAUUCCUAGUGUAGCGGUGAAAUGCGUAGAUAUUAGGAGGAACACCAGUGGCGAAGGCGGCUGUCUGGUCUGUAACUGACGCUGAGGCUCGAAAGCAUGGGUAGCAAACA